CCUCAAAAACUUAUAAAUAAAGGUUAGAACUGAAACAUUUCCAAUUGUUUUGAAAAAAACUGGGGAGGAUGUUAAUACCCUUGAUCUCUGUGAGUUACAAGCAUAAUUAAUUUUUGUCAUAAGGUUUCAUGAAUCCUGC
Molecule: long non-coding RNA, 139 nt
Organism: Aethina tumida (small hive beetle)
Lineage: Eukaryota; Metazoa; Arthropoda; Insecta; Coleoptera; Nitidulidae
Exons: 3
Source: RefSeq, a predicted model, not a curated record